AUUGAACGCUAGCGGGAGGCCUAACACAUGCAAGUCGAACGGAAACAGAAAUUGCUUGCAAUUUGCUGUCGAGUGGCGAACGGGUGCGUAACGCGUAUGCAAUCUGCCCUUAACAGGGGAAUAGCCCGAAGAAAUUCGGAUUAAUACCCCAUAACAUCACAAAUUCGCAUGUCUUUGUGAUUAAAACUUCGGUGGUUAAGGAUGAGCAUGCGUGACAUUAGUUUGUUGGUGAGGUAACAGCUCACCAAGACUACGAUGUCUAGGGGGUCUGAGAGGAUGGCCCCCCACACUGGUACUGAGACACGGACCAG
Molecule: ribosomal RNA, 311 nt
Filed under: uncultured bacterium
Lineage: Bacteria
Description: bacterial SSU rRNA
Rfam family: Bacterial small subunit ribosomal RNA
Source: RNAcentral